This 495-nucleotide ribosomal RNA is filed under the name uncultured bacterium. RNAcentral describes it as "bacterial SSU rRNA". It matches the Rfam family "Bacterial small subunit ribosomal RNA", at positions 21 to 507 of the family's 1533-position model. The record is from RNAcentral.
GGCUCAGGAUGAACGCUAGCGGCAGGCUUAACACAUGCAAGUCGAGGGGCAGCAUGAUUGAACUUUCGGGUUCGGUUGAUGGCGACCGGCGCAAGGGUGCGUAACGCGUGAGCAACUUGCCGUUCAGGGGGAUAACCGGUGGAAACGCCGACUAAUACCCCAUGGCAUCAUAUUGAGGCAUCUUUAUAUGAUUAAAGAAUUUCGGAAACGGAUAGGCUCGCGUGACAUUAGCUAGAUGGCGGGGUAACGGCCCACCAUGGCGACGAUGUCUAGGGGUUCUGAGAGGAAGGUCCCCCACACUGGAACUGAGACACGGUCCAGACUCCUACGGGAGGCAGCAGUGAGGAAUAUUGGUCAAUGGCCGGGAGGCUGAACCAGCCAUGCCGCGUGAAGGUCACGGCCCUAUGGGUCUUAAACUUCUUUUGUAAGGGAGCAAUAAGGUUCACGUGUGGACUGAUGAGAGUACCUUACGAAUAAGCAUCGGCUAACUCCGUG